GUGCUCACUUUGGCAGCACAUAUACCAAAACUGGAAUGAUAGAGAAAAUUAGCAUGGCUCCUGCACAAGGAUGACAUGCAAAUUUGUGAAGCAUUGCACUUUUUU
This is a small nuclear RNA of Lutra lutra (Eurasian river otter), 105 nucleotides long. The record is from RefSeq and is a predicted model, not a curated record. Lineage: Eukaryota; Metazoa; Chordata; Mammalia; Carnivora; Mustelidae.